CGGUAUGAAGGAGAGACCCAUGAAUAGGGUAGAGAAUAACUAAACUUGGAGGGCAUGCUUCCUAUUUUAAUAAUUGGGUAGUUUAUCUGGGAUGGAUGCCUCCUAAAGAGUAAUAGAGGUGUGCAAUAUAAUGGUAGGCUCAAGCUCAAAUUAUGCUUGUGAGCGUGAGACCAACUAAUCAAACAGAGACGAAAGUCGGCCAUAGUGAUUCGGGCAUUUCCGUGUGGAAGGGCACUCACUCAAUGGAUUAAUGGUACGUCGGGGAUAAUAGGUUGAUGACUCCCAAGAGCUCUUAUUAGUGAAGUUGUUUGGCACCUCGAUGUCGACUCAUCACAUCCUGGGAUUGAAGAAGGUCCCAAGGGUUUGGUUGUUCGUCGAUGAAAGUGGUAUGUGAGUUAGUUUAGAACGUUGUGAGACAGUUCGAUUCCUAUCUACUG
RNAcentral lists this non-coding RNA (437 nucleotides) under Cucumis melo (muskmelon). RNAcentral's name for it is "Bacterial large subunit ribosomal RNA". It matches the Rfam family "Bacterial large subunit ribosomal RNA", at positions 2184 to 2647 of the family's 2925-position model. RNAcentral also lists the same sequence under 1 other name. The record is from Rfam by way of RNAcentral. Lineage: Eukaryota; Viridiplantae; Streptophyta; Magnoliopsida; Cucurbitales; Cucurbitaceae.